RNAcentral lists this long non-coding RNA (474 nucleotides) under Pan troglodytes (chimpanzee). RNAcentral's name for it is "long non-coding RNA NONPTRT009264". Lineage: Eukaryota; Metazoa; Chordata; Mammalia; Primates; Hominidae. The record is from RNAcentral.
AACCACAGGCUAUGGAUUGUUCAUCUAGGGAGAAAUCCUCUGAGGAGUGUUCAAGAUGUGAAGGCCAUAAACUCUAGGGCAGAGCAGCCCCAGGGCCUUGCCUGGCCCCCCUUGCACGCUGCAGGUCUGUGUCAAGCCAUGGACACAGCUCUCUGUUCCGGAGGAUGGAGUGUGUUAAAAUUGUUAAGAGUAAGGCCUACUUUAAGAGAUGCAGGUGUUUCCUAUCGUUUCUGUUACUUGAGACUACCUGCUCUUCCAUCUUGCCCAGAGACCACAUGUUGAAAUUCCGGGUCGGAGGUAUUCUUUGAGCUAUUAGAUUCUAGGUAAGGCCUGUGGACAUGUGGAGUGUUUUUGGUAAAAGAUUAUAAGAAGGCAUGGAAAUGUGGGAGUUUUUUGGCUACACUAGUUUAGAGGGUUAAAGGUUUUAACUAAGAUAGCAUAAAGCUGAAGGUUUGAGCAAGUUGUGAUAGGUUU